GCUCAGUGGUCUAUCGGUCAUGUGCUCUGGCUUGAGACCAGUAGGUCCUGGGUUCGAAUCUCGCUCGUGAGGCG
Molecule: transfer RNA, 74 nt
Filed under: Schistosoma mansoni
Lineage: Eukaryota; Metazoa; Platyhelminthes; Trematoda; Strigeidida; Schistosomatidae
Source: RNAcentral